This 67-nucleotide transfer RNA is filed under the name Caryopemon giganteus. Its description in RNAcentral is "tRNA-Phe". The record is from RNAcentral. Lineage: Eukaryota; Metazoa; Arthropoda; Insecta; Coleoptera; Chrysomelidae.
ACUUAAAUAGCUUAUACUAAGAGCGUAGCUUUGAAGAAGCUAAUGAAUUGCCUAACAAUUUUAAGUG